Molecule: long non-coding RNA, 3139 nt
Organism: Cuculus canorus (common cuckoo)
Lineage: Eukaryota; Metazoa; Chordata; Aves; Cuculiformes; Cuculidae
Exons: 5
Source: RefSeq, a predicted model, not a curated record
CAGAUGUUCCUCGCUGUUUGCCAUAAAAAAAUUGGAUUUUAGUCUCAAGCCUAAGGGGAGACAAACAACAACAUCCUACCAACCUGCCUGGGCAGGUCCCUGUUUUCCAGCCGGGAUUUGGGGAGCAAGGAACGUUGUUUUACCCUCAUGGGAGGCUUUUGACUCGGAGCAACCCUCAAACUUCCCUUCCUGGUUGGUUUUUUUGCUCCUUUGCCCUUAAUUUUCAAAGCCCUCAGUGCUUUUCCAGCUCAGGAAAACACUGGGAGGGGAGGAAACGGGCAAACAAUGUCUUUUUGGAGCCACCCAACAACGCAGGGUUGGAAAACUGGGGGUUUUCGAGUCCUCCCCGCCCGGACGGAGGGGAAAAAGGAUGUGUUUUUGUUCAGGGUUGUCUCCCUUGUCCUUCGGAGCUUGUUUAUCCGCGCCUUUCUGGCACGGCUCCGUGUUUUUCUUUCCCCACCACCAUCCUCGCCUUUCCCCGGAGUUAAUUCACACCUGUUAGAAUAAACCGAUAAAGCCGCCGGAUAAACUAUAGGGCAUAAACUCUCCACCUGCCAAACUGCGGGGCGGCUUUCCUUACGGAAAAACCUUACGGAUUGCUUUUUUUUCCCCCCUGUUAGGGACGUGAUGGAAGAGCUUCACCCUCUUUCUGCCACCCUAACCCUUGCCCCACUGUCCCUCCUGGCACGGGAGGAAGAAGGUGCCGGGUUCCCAAAGAGCCGCGGAGUUGUUCUAAUUUGGCCAAACGAGGGGAGAUCUCUUUCCAGCUUUGCCAGCUAUGGGAUAUUCGAUCCCCGAGACCCCAGCUUGGAGCUACGUCCAGCAUUCCCGCGUUUACGCGCUCCUCUCUGGUUUCUUUUGAUGCCCGUCUUUCCAGGAAAACAAACCCAGCCCCGGCUCUCGCUGCCCGUGGUUGUGGGCAGGAAAACACAUUCCAACGAUGUCAAAGGACGACGGAGCCCAAAGCCAAAGAGUCUGGCAAAGAUACGGUCCCAGGCACGUUCCACAGCCUCAGCCUUUCCAUAUUUCUCUUUUCUCUGUCAGUCAGCUCAUGCCCUUUGCUCUCAUAACCUCUAUCCGACUGGAAAUGCCUCUCCUGCCGCAGAACGCGGAGCAGCUCUGCUUUCCUCGGGGCUGAGGCUUUGUUUCCCACGCAAGCGGCGCUCUGGAUGAAGCGAGGCUUUCCGAAGUUCAAUUUUAGCUUAUAAAUAACCGAAAUGCUUGAAAAUGUCACGUCUCAGGCCAAAAGCGAGGGCACUGGAGAGAAGGCAGUUGGGUUUCUGGGCAGAGAUCGGCGAUUUGGGGUUUCUUGCUCCCACUAAGCAAUUGUUUGGAGGCAUUCACCGCCCUCUCGUUUCCUACAGGGAUGGUGGUGCUUGGAGGGUCCCCUCUAUCCGUAAUUGAGGGCAAAGCCACUGAGGGUGGAUGGGGAGAGCAGGCAAAGCCUUGUCCUGUCCCGGUGUGCCUGGCCGGGGGCGAGGGAUGACGAGGAGAGCUGUGUGACUCAUGUUCUACGCCGGGGAGAACCCCUUGGAAAAGCAGCAGGGUUGGGUUUUAGCGAGAAACCAAGCCCUGAGGUGACUCAGUGAGAGCCGGAGCUGCUGCGUGGGUCAAGGAGAAGGAGUUGGAUUGUGUCUUCGCAAUAGAGGAAGGGGAAAACCAGAGCGAAGAGUCAACAGCCGGUGACAAGGGGCUGAACUCAGUCAUCCAUAAACAAGGAGGAAUUUGGGAAGUCCCGUGUUUAUCAUCUGCUCUGGGCCAGAAAACUCAGCUGCAGCGGCUCCGUCCUCUGGAUGGGAGAGCGUGACCUCUCCCGGGCUCGCGGCGCGCGGCAGGAGACCACUGCUCCAAACCUGCCCCAGCCCAGCCUUCCUCUUCCAGAAGAACAAAUCCAGCUCCUCUCUUCUCCAAACCAAUCCUCUGGGUCCUCUUUGCCUCUGGUGUCGGCUGGUUAUGAACUACGCUCUUAGGAAGGGAGGAAAAAGUGUCAUAAAGCAAAAGAUUUCCUGAGCUUCCAUUCCUGCUCCGUCCGUUUGUCCCUUGGAGGGCCCAACAGGUGCUGGAAAGAGCAAAGAAAGAAGGUUUCCUUACUUUUCAGAGCUCCUGUGAGGUUGCCAGCGGCUGUGUCAGUGCCUGGGGACAAGGAGACCCUCGCUGGAGGUCCUCACCCCACAGGUCAACCUUCGUCAUGUAGAGAACCAGGCUGGAUUUUGGAUUACCUGCACCACUGACUUAGGAUAUCGGUGCGUUCGACCUGCCCAGUCCUGGGUCCAAAGUCUAAGAGGAGGGCAGAGCUGAGGCUGGAACGCAAACCUGCCCAAAGGUGGCCCAGAGGUUGCCAAACGCUGCGCUGCACCAGCUGAAUUCCCGAAAUCCCGUCUGCAAGGACUCGGAGCGGCUCCACCAACCCCAGCUCCUGCAGGGAGGAGAAACGGCGUGGAGAUGUCCAGGUCUUGCUGCUCCUCACGGUGCGGGAGUGAAGCCUCGCGGACCCACCGCACGCUCAGCGCCUUCGCACCCGGAGCCUCGUGCGGACCUGAGGAGAGCAGACGGAGCCGCGAGGCUUAACCAAACCCCCAAAGUGGUACCGUUCUCCUCACGGGGAAUCGCUCCCGAUUCCCGCAGAGCGCAUCCAGACCAGCCUGGAUUGUUUAGGGAUGGAGUUUAGGGGGGUUUAGGAUGGGGUUCCCCACCCAAACCUCUCCUCUCCUACCCUGGCAUGAACCGAGCCGCCGGCGCUGAGCUGUGUCGCGGCGGCUGCAGAACUGCUCCGUACCCAAAAAACGGGGGAGUAAAGGAAGGAUAGUGGCUCCUAAUCCCAGGACAAGCUCCAAUCUCCAGUCAGACUCUUGUUUUUAGCGUAACAGCCCUUCUUUCUUGGGGGCAAGAGGUAGAAAAGAAAAGAAAGGAUAAAACCCAGCGUGGGUUCCAACCCCAUCCGGGGUUUACAUCAGCGGCAAUUCGAGGGAGAAGGUUUUAGGUGCCCGUUUCUUUCCCUCCCGGAGCACACGGAGGCUUUGCAGCUCUUCCCUGCCCCGUAUUUACGCUCUGGGUGUCUGUUACCCGGUAACAAGGGAUAACCAGGGAGCGGAAAAAAUGUUGUUUAACAAAUAAACCCCAUCUCCUAGCGUGGCUUCCC